This 371-nucleotide ribosomal RNA is filed under the name uncultured bacterium. RNAcentral's name for it is "bacterial SSU rRNA". It matches the Rfam family "Bacterial small subunit ribosomal RNA", at positions 28 to 400 of the family's 1533-position model. The record is from RNAcentral.
GACGAACGCUGGCGGCGUGCUUAACACAUGCAAGUCGAGCGGUAAGGCCCUUUCGGGGGUACACGAGCGGCGAACGGGUGAGUAACACGUGGGUGACCUGCCCUUAGCUCUGGGAUAAGCCUGGGAAACUGGGUCUAAUACCGGAUAUGACUCCAUGACGCAUGUUGUGGGGUGGAAAGCCUUGUGCGGCUAGGGAUGGGCCCGCGGCCUAUCAGCUUGUUGGUGGGGUGAUGGCCUACCAAGGCGACGACGGGUAGCCGGCCUGAGGGGGCGACCGGCCACACUGGGACUGAGACACGGCCCAGACUCCUACGGGAGGCAGCAGUGGGGAAUCUUGCGCAAUGGGCGAAAGCCUGACGCAGCGACGCCGC